RNAcentral lists this ribosomal RNA (484 nucleotides) under uncultured bacterium. RNAcentral's name for it is "partial 16S ribosomal RNA". It matches the Rfam family "Bacterial small subunit ribosomal RNA", at positions 30 to 507 of the family's 1533-position model. The record is from RNAcentral.
AUUGAACGCUGGCGGCAGGCCUAACACAUGCAAGUCGAGCGGAUGAAGGGAGCUUGCUCCUGGAUUCAGCGGCGGACGGGCGAGUAAUGCCUACGAAUCUGACUUGCAGAGGGGGAUAACGUCCGGUAACGGGCGCUAAUCCCGCAUACGUCCUGAGGUAGAAAGUGGGGGAUCUUCGGACCUCACGCUAUCAGAUGAGCCUAGGUCGGAUUAGCUAGUUGGUGGGGUAAAGGCCUACCAAGGCGACGAUCCGUAGCUGGUCUGAGAGGGUGAUCAGUCACACUGGAACUGAGACACGGUCCAGACUCCUACGGGAGGCAGCAGUGGGGAAUAUUGGGCAAUGGGCGAAAGCCUGACCGAGCCAUGCCGCGUGUGUGAAGAAGGUCUUCGGAUUGUAAAGCUCUGUUAGUAGGGAGGAACGGCAGUAAGUGAAUACCUUGCUGUCUUGACGUUACCAACAGAAAAAGCACCGGCUAACUUCGUG